This 2892-nucleotide ribosomal RNA is filed under the name Pseudomonas fluorescens. RNAcentral describes it as "23S ribosomal RNA". It matches the Rfam family "Bacterial large subunit ribosomal RNA". RNAcentral also lists the same sequence under 1 other name. The record is from RNAcentral. Lineage: Bacteria; Pseudomonadati; Pseudomonadota; Gammaproteobacteria; Pseudomonadales; Pseudomonadaceae.
GGUCAAGUGAAGAAGCGCAUACGGUGGAUGCCUUGGCAGUCAGAGGCGAUGAAAGACGUGGUAGCCUGCGAAAAGCUUCGGGGAGUCGGCAAACAGACUUUGAUCCGGAGAUGUCUGAAUGGGGGAACCCAGCCAUCAUAAGAUGGUUAUCUUGUACUGAAUACAUAGGUGCAAGAGGCGAACCAGGGGAACUGAAACAUCUAAGUACCCUGAGGAAAAGAAAUCAACCGAGAUUCCCUUAGUAGUGGCGAGCGAACGGGGACUAGCCCUUAAGUGGCUUUGAGAUUAGCGGAACGCUCUGGAAAGUGCGGCCAUAGUGGGUGAUAGCCCUGUACGCGAAAAUCUCUUAGUCAUGAAAUCGAGUAGGACGGAGCACGAGAAACUUUGUCUGAAUAUGGGGGGACCAUCCUCCAAGGCUAAAUACUACUGACUGACCGAUAGUGAACUAGUACCGUGAGGGAAAGGCGAAAAGAACCCCGGAGAGGGGAGUGAAAUAGAUCCUGAAACCGUAUGCGUACAAGCAGUGGGAGCCUACUUUGUUAGGUGACUGCGUACCUUUUGUAUAAUGGGUCAGCGACUUAUUUUCAGUGGCGAGCUUAACCGAAUAGGGGAGGCGUAGCGAAAGCGAGUCUUAAUAGGGCGUCUAGUCGCUGGGAAUAGACCCGAAACCGGGCGAUCUAUCCAUGGGCAGGUUGAAGGUUGGGUAACACUAACUGGAGGACCGAACCGACUACCGUUGAAAAGUUAGCGGAUGACCUGUGGAUCGGAGUGAAAGGCUAAUCAAGCUCGGAGAUAGCUGGUUCUCCUCGAAAGCUAUUUAGGUAGCGCCUCAUGUAUCACUGUAGGGGGUAGAGCACUGUUUCGGCUAGGGGGUCAUCCCGACUUACCAAACCGAUGCAAACUCCGAAUACCUACAAGUGCCGAGCAUGGGAGACACACGGCGGGUGCUAACGUCCGUCGUGAAAAGGGAAACAACCCAGACCGUCAGCUAAGGUCCCAAAGUUAUGGUUAAGUGGGAAACGAUGUGGGAAGGCUUAGACAGCUAGGAGGUUGGCUUAGAAGCAGCCACCCUUUAAAGAAAGCGUAAUAGCUCACUAGUCGAGUCGGCCUGCGCGGAAGAUGUAACGGGGCUCAAACCAUACACCGAAGCUACGGGUAUCACGUAAGUGAUGCGGUAGAGGAGCGUUCUGUAAGCCUGUGAAGGUGAGUUGAGAAGCUUGCUGGAGGUAUCAGAAGUGCGAAUGCUGACAUGAGUAACGACAAUGGGUGUGAAAAACACCCACGCCGAAAGACCAAGGUUUCCUGCGCAACGUUAAUCGACGCAGGGUUAGUCGGUCCCUAAGGCGAGGCUGAAAAGCGUAGUCGAUGGAAAACAGGUUAAUAUUCCUGUACUUCUGGUUAUUGCGAUGGAGGGACGGAGAAGGCUAGGCCAGCUUGGCGUUGGUUGUCCAAGUUUAAGGUGGUAGGCUGAGAUCUUAGGUAAAUCCGGGAUCUUAAGGCCGAGAGCUGAUGACGAGCUAACUUUUAGUUAGCGAAGUGGUUGAUGCCAUGCUUCCAAGAAAAGCUUCUAAGCUUCAGGUAACCAGGAACCGUACCCCAAACCGACACAGGUGGUUGGGUAGAGAAUACCAAGGCGCUUGAGAGAACUCGGGUGAAGGAACUAGGCAAAAUGGCACCGUAACUUCGGGAGAAGGUGCGCCGGUGAGGGUGAAGGACUUGCUCCGUAAGCUCAUGCCGGUCGAAGAUACCAGGCCGCUGCGACUGUUUAUUAAAAACACAGCACUCUGCAAACACGAAAGUGGACGUAUAGGGUGUGACGCCUGCCCGGUGCCGGAAGGUUAAUUGAUGGGGUUAGCUAACGCGAAGCUCUUGAUCGAAGCCCCGGUAAACGGCGGCCGUAACUAUAACGGUCCUAAGGUAGCGAAAUUCCUUGUCGGGUAAGUUCCGACCUGCACGAAUGGCGUAACGAUGGCGGCGCUGUCUCCACCCGAGACUCAGUGAAAUUGAAAUCGCUGUGAAGAUGCAGUGUAUCCGCGGCUAGACGGAAAGACCCCGUGAACCUUUACUAUAGCUUUGCACUGGACUUUGAAUUUGCUUGUGUAGGAUAGGUGGGAGGCUUUGAAGCGUGGACGCCAGUUCGCGUGGAGCCAUCCUUGAAAUACCACCCUGGCAACUUUGAGGUUCUAACUCAGGUCCGUUAUCCGGAUCGAGGACAGUGUAUGGUGGGUAGUUUGACUGGGGCGGUCUCCUCCUAAAGAGUAACGGAGGAGUACGAAGGUGCGCUCAGACCGGUCGGAAAUCGGUCGUAGAGUAUAAAGGCAAAAGCGCGCUUGACUGCGAGACAGACACGUCGAGCAGGUACGAAAGUAGGUCUUAGUGAUCCGGUGGUUCUGUAUGGAAGGGCCAUCGCUCAACGGAUAAAAGGUACUCCGGGGAUAACAGGCUGAUACCGCCCAAGAGUUCAUAUCGACGGCGGUGUUUGGCACCUCGAUGUCGGCUCAUCACAUCCUGGGGCUGAAGCCGGUCCCAAGGGUAUGGCUGUUCGCCAUUUAAAGUGGUACGCGAGCUGGGUUUAGAACGUCGUGAGACAGUUCGGUCCCUAUCUGCCGUGGACGUUUGAGAUUUGAGAGGGGCUGCUCCUAGUACGAGAGGACCGGAGUGGACGAACCUCUGGUGUUCCGGUUGUCACGCCAGUGGCAUUGCCGGGUAGCUAUGUUCGGAAUAGAUAACCGCUGAAAGCAUCUAAGCGGGAAACUAGCCUCAAGAUGAGAUCUCACUGGAACCUUGAGUUCCCUGAAGGGCCGUCGAAGACUACGACGUUGAUAGGUUGGGUGUGUAAGCGCUGUGAGGCGUUGAGCUAACCAAUACUAAUUGCCCGUGAGGCUUGACCAU